GACGAACGCUGGCGGCAUGCCUAACACAUGCAAGUCGAACGCGUGUAGCAAUACACGAGUGGCGGACGGGUGAGUAACGCGUGGGACCUGCCCAAUGGUAGGGAAUAACUGCGGGAAACUGCAGCUAAUACCCUAUGCUCCCUACGGGGGAAAGAUUUAUCGCCAUUGGAGGGGCCCGCGUCGGAUUAGCUAGUUGGCGGGGUAACGGCCCACCAAGGCUACGAUCCGUAGCUGGUCUGAGAGGAUGAUCAGCCACACUGGGACUGAGAUACGGCCCAGACUCCUACGGGAGGCAGCAGUGGGGAAUAUUGGACAAUGGGGGAAACCCUGAUCCAGCAAUGCCGCGUGAGUGAAGAAGGCCUUAGGGUUGUAAAGCUCUUUCGGCGGGACGAUGGUGACGGUACCCGCAGAAGAAGCCCCGGCUAACUUCGUGCCA
This 436-nucleotide ribosomal RNA is filed under the name uncultured bacterium. RNAcentral describes it as "bacterial SSU rRNA". It matches the Rfam family "Bacterial small subunit ribosomal RNA", at positions 28 to 510 of the family's 1533-position model. The record is from RNAcentral.